RNAcentral lists this ribosomal RNA (420 nucleotides) under Paraloxopsis cf. korystes SB0096. RNAcentral's name for it is "partial large subunit ribosomal RNA". The stretch from base 272 to 420 matches the Rfam family "Bacterial large subunit ribosomal RNA", at positions 2473 to 2622 of the family's 2925-position model. Lineage: Eukaryota; Metazoa; Arthropoda; Insecta; Phasmatodea; Lonchodidae. The record is from RNAcentral.
UGUAUGAAUGGUUGGACGAAAUAUUAACUGUCUCAUAUUUAAUAUUAUAAUUUAAAUUUUUAGUUAAAAUGCUUAAAUUUUUUUAUAGGACGAGAAGACCCUAUAGAUCUUUAUUUUUAGUUUUAUAUUUGAUUUAGUUUAUUAUUAUUUUAUUUAAUUUAAAUGUUUUGUUGGGGUGAUUUUGGGAUAACUUUAACUCUUAUUUUUAUUAUUCAAUUAUUUUUGUAAAUUUGAUCUUUUAGUAAUGUUUAUAAGAUAUAGAUACCUUAGGGAUAACAGCGUAAUUUUUUUUGAGAGUUCUUAUUGACAAUGAAGUUUGCGACCUCGAUGUUGGAUUAAGAUUAUAUUUAGGUGUAGGUGCUUAAUUAAUAAGUCUGUUCGACUUUUAAAAUCUUACAUGAUCUGAGUUCAAACCGGAGA